Molecule: ribosomal RNA, 497 nt
Filed under: uncultured bacterium
Lineage: Bacteria
Description: partial 16S ribosomal RNA
Rfam family: Bacterial small subunit ribosomal RNA
Source: RNAcentral
GAUGAACGCUGGCGGCGUGCCUAAUACAUGCAAGUCGAGCGAACGGACGAGAAGCUUGCUUCUCUGAUGUUAGCGGCGGACGGGUGAGUAACACGUGGAUAACCUACCUAUAAGACUGGGAUAACUUCGGGAAACCGGAGCUACUACCGGAUAAUAUUUUGAACCGCAUGGUUCAAAAGUGCAUGACGGUCUUGCUGUCACUUAUAGAUGGAUCCGCGCUGCAUUAGCUAGUUGGUAAGGUAACGGCUUACCAAGGCAACGAUGCAUAGCCGACCUGAGAGGGUGAUCAGCCACACUGGAACUGAGACACGGUCCAGACUCCUACGGGAGGCAGCAGUAGGGAAUCUUCCGCAAUGGGCGAAAGCCUGACGGAGCAACGCCGCGUGAGUGAUGAAGGUCUUCGGAUCGUAAAACUCUGUUAUUAGGGAAGAACAUAUGUGUAAGUAACUGUGCACAUCUUGACGGUACCUAAUCAGAAAGCCCCGGCUAACUACGUG